UACGUAGGGUGCAGGCGUUAAUCGGAAUUACUGGGCGUAAAGGGCGCGUAGGCGGCUUAUCAAGUCAGGCGUGAAAUUCCCGGGCUCAACCUGGGGGCUGCGCUUGAUACUGAUUGGCUUGAAUGCGGGAGAGGAUAGUGGAAUUCCCAGUGUAGAGGUGAAAUUCGUAGAUAUUGGGAAGAACACCGGUGGCGAAGGCGGCUAUCUGGCCCGUAAUUGACGCUGAGGCGCGAAAGCGUGGGGAGCAAACAGG
Molecule: ribosomal RNA, 253 nt
Filed under: uncultured bacterium
Lineage: Bacteria
Description: partial 16S ribosomal RNA
Rfam family: Bacterial small subunit ribosomal RNA
Source: RNAcentral